Molecule: transfer RNA, 72 nt
Filed under: Erwinia phage vB_EamM_Kwan
Lineage: Duplodnaviria; Heunggongvirae; Uroviricota; Caudoviricetes; Chimalliviridae
Also listed under: 1 other name
Rfam family: tRNA
About the family: Transfer RNA (tRNA) molecules are approximately 80 nucleotides in length.
Source: Rfam by way of RNAcentral
ACACCCAUCGUCUAGCGGUUAGGACCGCUGCCUUUCGAGCAGUUAACCGGGGUUCAAAUCCCCGUGGGUGUA